UACGAAGGGGGCUAGCGUUGUUCGGAAUUACUGGGCGUAAAGCGCACGUAGGCGGAUAUUUAAGUCAGGGGUGAAAUCCCAGAGCUCAACUCUGGAACUGCCUUUGAUACUGGGUAUCUCGAGUCCGGAAGAGGUAAGUGGAACUGCGAGUGUAGAGGUGAAAUUCGUAGAUAUUCGCAAGAACACCAGUGGCGAAGGCGGCUUACUGGUCCGGAACUGACGCUGAGGUGCGAAAGCGUGGGGAGCAAACAGG
This 253-nucleotide ribosomal RNA is filed under the name uncultured bacterium. RNAcentral describes it as "partial 16S ribosomal RNA". It matches the Rfam family "Bacterial small subunit ribosomal RNA", at positions 524 to 776 of the family's 1533-position model. The record is from RNAcentral.